This 379-nucleotide ribosomal RNA is filed under the name Dehalococcoidia bacterium. RNAcentral's name for it is "partial 23S ribosomal RNA". It matches the Rfam family "Bacterial large subunit ribosomal RNA", at positions 2557 to 2925 of the family's 2925-position model. Lineage: Bacteria; Bacillati; Chloroflexota; Dehalococcoidia. The record is from RNAcentral.
AGCAGGUCCCAAGGGUCCGGCUGUUCGCCGGUUAAAGCGGUACGCGAGCUGGGUUCAGACCGUCGUGAGACAGGUCGGUCUCUAUCCGUCGUGGGCGCCUGGAGAUUUGAGGAGAGCUCUCCUUAGUACGAGAGGACCGGGAGGGACAGACCUCUGGUGUGCCAGUUGUUCUGCCAAGGGCACGGCUGGGUAGCUACGUCUGGCAGGGAUAAGCGCUGAAAGCAUCUAAGUGCGAAGCCCACUCCAAGAUAAGAUCUCCCAUCUCUCCCCGCAAGGGGAGGGGGUAAGACCGCAGGUAGACUACCUGUUUGAUAGGCGGCGUGUGUAAGAGCAGUAAUGUUUUUAGCUAAGCCGUACUAAUGGUCGAGGGCUUGGCCUG